UCCUAAAGGCUCCAGGGACUGUAGC
This 25-nucleotide non-coding RNA is filed under the name Mus musculus (house mouse). Lineage: Eukaryota; Metazoa; Chordata; Mammalia; Rodentia; Muridae. The record is from RNAcentral.